Molecule: ribosomal RNA, 492 nt
Filed under: uncultured bacterium
Lineage: Bacteria
Description: partial 16S ribosomal RNA
Rfam family: Bacterial small subunit ribosomal RNA
Source: RNAcentral
GACGAACGCUGGCGGCGUGCUUAACACAUGCAAGUCGAACGGAAAGGCCCCCACUUUUUUGGUGGGGGUGCUCGAGUGGCGAACGGGUGAGUAACACGUGGGUGAUCUGCCCUGUACUUCGGGAUAAGCUUGGGAAACUGGGUCUAAUACCGGAUAGGACCAUGGUUUAGUGUCUCAUGGUGGAAAAAUUAUUGUUUUGGUGCAGGAUGAGCUCGCGGCCUAUCAGCUUGUUGGUGGGGUAAUGGCCUACCAAGGCGUCGACGGGUAGCCGGCCUGAGAGGGUGGACGGCCACAUUGGGACUGAGAUACGGCCCAGCCUCCUACGGGAGGCAGCAGUGGGGAAUAUUGCACAAUGGGAGCAAGCCUGAUGCAGCGGCGCCGCGUGGGGGAUGACGGCCUUCGGGUUGUAAACUCCUUUCGUUAGGGACGAAGCCGCACCUUUUUUGGGUGUGGUGACGGUACCUUUGUUAAGAAGCACCGGCUAACUACGUG